Molecule: transfer RNA, 73 nt
Filed under: Stegodyphus mimosarum
Lineage: Eukaryota; Metazoa; Arthropoda; Arachnida; Araneae; Eresidae
Rfam family: tRNA
About the family: Transfer RNA (tRNA) molecules are approximately 80 nucleotides in length.
Source: Rfam by way of RNAcentral
GCCUUCGUGGUGUAGUGGUCAGCCCGCUGGAUGCGUAUUCCAGACGACCGUGGUUCGAGUCCCGGCGAAAGCG